AUACUGGACAAUGGGCGAAAGCCUGAUCCAGCCAUGCCUCGUGUGUGAAGAAGGUCUUCUGAUUGUAAACUACUUUAAGUUGGGAGGAAGGGGUUCAAGCUAAUACCUUCAAUCUUUGACCUUACCAACAGAAUAAGCACCGGCUAACCCUGUCCCAGCAGCCGCGGUAAUACAGAGGGUACAAGCGUUAAUCGGAAUUACUGGGCGUAAAGCGCGGGUAGGUGGUUCAGUAAGAUGGAAGUGAAAUCCCCGGGCUUAACCUGGGAACUGCUUUCAUAACUGCUGAGCUAGAGUACGGUAGAGGGUAGUGGAAUUUCCUGUGUAGCGGUGAAAUGCGUAGAUAUAGGAAGGAACACCAGUGGCGAAGGCGACUACCUGGACUGAUACUGACACUGAGGUGCGAAAGCGUGGGGAGCAAACA
RNAcentral lists this ribosomal RNA (421 nucleotides) under uncultured bacterium. Its description in RNAcentral is "partial 16S ribosomal RNA". It matches the Rfam family "Bacterial small subunit ribosomal RNA", at positions 361 to 774 of the family's 1533-position model. The record is from RNAcentral.